RNAcentral lists this ribosomal RNA (430 nucleotides) under Escherichia coli. Its description in RNAcentral is "partial 23S ribosomal RNA". It matches the Rfam family "Bacterial large subunit ribosomal RNA", at positions 802 to 1230 of the family's 2925-position model. Lineage: Bacteria; Pseudomonadati; Pseudomonadota; Gammaproteobacteria; Enterobacterales; Enterobacteriaceae. The record is from RNAcentral.
GGAUGACUUGUGGCUGGGGGUGAAAGGCCAAUCAAACCGGGAGAUAGCUGGUUCUCCCCGAAAGCUAUUUAGGUAGCGCCUCGUGAAUUCAUCUCCGGGGGUAGAGCACUGUUUCGGCAAGGGGGUCAUCCCGACUUACCAACCCGAUGCAAACUGCGAAUACCGGAGAAUGUUAUCACGGGAGACACACGGCGGGUGCUAACGUCCGUCGUGAAGAGGGAAACAACCCAGACCGCCAGCUAAGGUCCCAAAGUCAUGGUUAAGUGGGAAACGAUGUGGGAAGGCCCAGACAGCCAGGAUGUUGGCUUAGAAGCAGCCAUCAUUUAAAGAAAGCGUAAUAGCUCACUGGUCGAGUCGGCCUGCGCGGAAGAUGUAACGGGGCUAAACCAUGCACCGAAGCUGCGGCAGCGACACUAUGUGUUGUUGGGUA